AGCAGCCGCGGUAAUUCCAGCUCCAAUAGCGUAUAUUAAAGUUGUUGCAGUUAAAAAGCUCGUAGUUGAAUUUCGGGGUUAGUAGAUUGGUCAUGCCUCUGGUAUGCACUGGUCUCACUGAUUCCUCCUUCCUGAUGAGCCGUAAUGCCAUUAAUUUGGUGUUGCGGGGAAUUUGGACUGUUACUUUGAAAAAAUUAGAGUGUUUAAAGCAAGCUAACGCUUGAAUACAUUAGCAUGGAAUAAUGAAAUAGGACGUUCGAUCCUAUUUUGUUGGUUUCUAGGAUUGACGUAAUGAUUAAUAGGGAUAGUUGGGGGCAUUAGUAUUCAAUUGUCAGAGGUGAAAUUCUUGGAUUUAUUGAAGACUAACUACUGCGAAAGCAUUUGCCAAGGGUGUUUUCAUUAAUCAAGAACGAAAGUUAGGGGAUCGAAGACGAUCAGAUACCGUCGUAGUCUUAACCAUAAACUAUGCCGACUAGGGAUCGGAUGAUGUUAAUUUUUUAAUGACUCA
RNAcentral lists this ribosomal RNA (508 nucleotides) under uncultured fungus. RNAcentral's name for it is "SSU rRNA". It matches the Rfam family "Eukaryotic small subunit ribosomal RNA", at positions 569 to 1078 of the family's 1831-position model. The record is from RNAcentral. Lineage: Eukaryota; Fungi.